Molecule: transfer RNA, 63 nt
Filed under: Mordellidae sp. GENSP02
Lineage: Eukaryota; Metazoa; Arthropoda; Insecta; Coleoptera; Mordellidae
Description: tRNA-Leu
Source: RNAcentral
UCUAAUGUGGCAGAAUAGUGCAAUGGAUUUAAGCCCCGUACAUAAAGGAAACUUUCUUUAGAA